AUACGGAGGGUGCAAGCGUUAUCCGGAAUCAUUGGGUUUAAAGGGUCCGUAGGCGGGCGAUUAAGUCAGAGGUGAAAUCCCACAGCUCAACUGUGGAACUGCCUUUGAUACUGGUUGUCUUGAAUUUUCGUGAAGUAGAUAGAAUAUGUAGUGUAGCGGUGAAAUGCAUAGAUAUUACAUAGAAUACCGAUUGCGAAGGCAGUCUACUAACUAACAAUUGACGCUAAUGGACGAAAGCGUGGGGAGCGAACAGUAUUAGAAACCCCGGUAGUCC
RNAcentral lists this ribosomal RNA (274 nucleotides) under uncultured bacterium. RNAcentral's name for it is "partial 16S ribosomal RNA". It matches the Rfam family "Bacterial small subunit ribosomal RNA", at positions 523 to 796 of the family's 1533-position model. The record is from RNAcentral.